Long non-coding RNA from Gavialis gangeticus (Gharial), 154 nucleotides. RefSeq lists it as uncharacterized. The record is from RefSeq and is a predicted model, not a curated record. NCBI's taxonomy places the organism in Eukaryota, Metazoa, Chordata, Crocodylia, Gavialidae. The transcript is spliced from 3 exons.
ACUGCACCUUUGAAGCACAGUUUGGGGAGGAGGUGAGCAGCCAACAGUGGCAAAAGAACAAGUUAGGAACUAUUUAGAAAUGCUGGACAUGUGCAAGUCCAUAGGGUUGGAUAGGAUGCACCCAAGAGUGCUGAGGGAACUGGCUACUGCAAUU